AGUGAACGCUGGCGGUAGGCCCAACACAUGCAAGUCGAACGGCAGCACAGGAGAGCUUGCUCUCUGGGUGGCGAGUGGCGGACGGGUGAGGAAUACAUCGGAAUCUACUCUGUCGUGGGGGAUAACGUAGGGAAACUUACGCUAAUACUGCAUACGACCUACGGGUGAAAGCAGGGGAUCUUCGGACCUUGCGCGAUUGAAUGAGCCGAUGUCGGAUUAGCUAGUUGGCGGGGUAAAGGCCCACCAAGGCGACGAUCCGUAGCUGGUCUGAGAGGAUGAUCAGCCACACUGGAACUGAGACACGGUCCAGACUCCUACGGGAGGCAGCAGUGGGGAAUAUUGGACAAUGGGCGCAAGCCUGAUCCAGCCAUACCGCGUGGGUGAAGAAGGCCUUCGGGUUGUAAAGCCCUUUUGUUGGGAAAGAAAUCCAGCUGGCUAAUACCCGGUUGGGAUGACGGUACCCAAAGAAUAAGCACCGGCUAACUUCGUGCCAGCAGCCGCCGCUG
This 506-nucleotide ribosomal RNA is filed under the name uncultured bacterium. RNAcentral describes it as "partial 16S ribosomal RNA". It matches the Rfam family "Bacterial small subunit ribosomal RNA", at positions 29 to 523 of the family's 1533-position model. The record is from RNAcentral.